GAGAGAGAGAGAGAAAUGCAGGCCAGAACUAAAUAUUUGCAAACCUAAACCAAUACAGCACAUGAAUAAACAUGUCUUCCAAUCUAACUGACAAAAUUAUAGAUUUUACAAUAAUUUGAUCUAGUUUUACCUUUAAAAAAUUAAAUCCAUUUUCAUCACAAAAAUUCAAAUAAAUUACCGCAAGAUUGUCAAUAGGCUCUUUGAAUUGGGAAAAGGAAAAAGAAAAAUAACACAAGUAGUGAUAUCUCGCACCUGACCAGGAAACAGAAAUGCACAAGUGGGCUCGUAAUCCGAAAAUAAGGUAUCAUCAACCACCGUGGGAGCGGAAACUGAAGUACUCAUCGAAAUUCUCGAUCUUGAUAUAGCUCCAGGUAAUUUCUUGAGUAAUCCAUGUCUCAAGCCAGAGAAACCUUGAAAGUUGAUGCUCUUAAGGCACUCUACAUUGCAACUUCUUGUAGAAGAAACCAGAGAAAGCUUGGGCGAUGCAGAUUGAAUCCUGCAAAUUGCAGACGCAGAGGAGAUCGAAGAACACAUCUCAGAGAGAUUAAGAGAGAGAAUGAAAUUUUAGAGAGAGAGAGUGCAAAUUUGCAGGGAACAGAGAGAAUUUAAGAUCGGUAAGAGAAAAAUGGAGUAUUAUUUCUAGAGAGAGAAAUAAAGUAUUCUUUGUAGUGAGAGAAAUGGGAUUUGAGAGAAGCUUUGAGUUGGAGACUCAAAAGUAGACAGAAGAGGAGCAGAGUAAGUAAUGCAGAGGGAGUGACGGAGUUUCUG
RNAcentral lists this long non-coding RNA (768 nucleotides) under Amborella trichopoda. RNAcentral describes it as "long non-coding RNA (ATRI_LNC002765)". Lineage: Eukaryota; Viridiplantae; Streptophyta; Magnoliopsida; Amborellales; Amborellaceae. The record is from RNAcentral.